GAUGAACGCUGGCGGCGUGCCUAAUACAUGCAAGUCGAGCGAACGGACGAGAAGCUUUCUUCUCUGAUGUUAGCGGCGGACGGGUGAGUAACACGUGGAUAACCUACCUAUAAGACUGGGAUAACUUCGGGAAACCGUAGCUAAUACCGGCUAAUAUUUUGAACCGCAUGGUUCAAAAGUUAAAGACGGUCUUGCUGUCACUUAUAGAUGGAUCCGCGCUGCAUUAGCUAGUUGGUAAGGUAACGGCUUACCAAGGCAACGAUGCAUAGCCGACCUGAGAGGGUGAUCGGCCACACUGGAACUGAGACACGGUCCAGACUCCUACGGGAGGCAGCAGUAGGGAAUCUUCCGCAAUGGGCGAAAGCCUGACGGAGCAACGCCGCGUGAGUGAUGAAGGUCUUCGGAUCGUAAAACUCUGUUAUUAGGGAAGAACAGAUGUGUAAGUAACUGUGCACAUCUUGACGGUACCUAAUCAGAAAGCCACGGCUAACUACGUG
This 497-nucleotide ribosomal RNA is filed under the name uncultured bacterium. RNAcentral's name for it is "partial 16S ribosomal RNA". It matches the Rfam family "Bacterial small subunit ribosomal RNA", at positions 28 to 507 of the family's 1533-position model. The record is from RNAcentral.